GAUUAAAGUAACAAAGGGCACACAAGGGAUGCCUAGGUAGAAAGAGCCGAAGAAGGACGUGGUAAGCUGCGAUAAGCUUGGCGAAGUUGCAAACGAACGUAGAUGCCAAGAUUUCCGAAUGGAGCAAUCUGUAAAGAGUCAUGUCUUUACACGAAAGAGGGAACCGGGUGAACUGAAACAUCUAAGUAAUCCGAGGAAAAGAAAGUAACAACGAUACCCUAAGUAGCGGCGAGCGAACGGGGUAGAGCCUAAACCAUAUUCAUGUCAAGGAUGCAGCCGUUGUGGAUAUGGGGUAGCGGGAAAGAGAGAGAAAGAACUGCAAGCUAUUUCGCAGACGCAAGCAAAGGAACAAGAAAGAUCUGGAAAGGUCUACCGUAGAAGGUGAAAGUCCUGUAUUGGUAGUUUUCUUGCGCUGUAUCUCUUCUCCCAAGUAAUGUGGAACACGAGGAAUUCUGCAUGAAUCUGCGAGGACCAAAUCUCGUAAGGCUAAAUACUCUUUCUAACCGAUAGCGCAUAGUACCGUGAGGGAAAGGUGAAAAGAACCCCGGGAGGGGAGUGAAAGAGAACCUGAAAUUGUGUGCUUACAAGCGGUCAGAGCCACUUUGGUGGUGAUGGCGUGCCUUUUGGAGAAUGAUCCUGCGAGUUACGUUUCAUGGCGAGGUUAAGAAGAACGGAGCCGAAGGGAAACCGAGUCUGAAUAGGGCGCAAGAGUCGUGGAGCGUAGACGCGAAACCCGGUGAUCUAAGCCUGUCCAGGAUGAAGCUGUGGUAAGACACAGUGGAGGUCCUAACCCACCGCCGUUGAAAAGUUGGGGGAUGAGGUAGGUUUAGGGGUGAAAAGCCAAUCGAACCGGGAGAUAGCUCGUUCUCUCCGAAAUGCAUCUAGGUGCAGCCUUGCGUGUUUAAUGAUGGGGGUAGAGCACUGACUGAACUAGGGGGCAUAUAGCUUACUGAAUUCAAUCAAACUCCGAAUACCAUUAUUCAAGAGCGCAGGAGUGAGACCAUGGGAGUUAACUUCCAUCGUCGAAAGGGAAACAACCCAGACCACCAGCUAAGGUCCCAAAUCAUAUCUAAGUGGGAAAGGAGGUGGAGAUUCUUAAACAACUAGGAGGUUGGCUUAGAAGCAGCCAUUCCUUGAAAGAGUGCGUAAUAGCUCACUAGUCGAGAGUCUCUGCGCCGACAAUGUAACGGGGCUAAGAUAUGAACCGAAGCUGUGGAUGUCGUAAGACAUGGUAGGAGAGCGUUCUGUAGGCCGUCGAAGGAGGACUGAAAGGAACUCUGGAGGUAUCAGAAGUGAGAAUGCAGGAAUAAGUAGCGAGAAGGGGAGUGAGAAUCUCCCCCGCUGGAAGACCAAGGUUUUCAGGGUAAAGCUUGUCUUCCCUGAGUAAGCCGGGACCUAAGCCCAGGCUAGAAUGCGUAGGCGAAUGGAAAACAGAUGAAUAUUUCUGUGCCAGUUCUACUUUGUGAAGGAGGGACGCAGAAGGGUAUGCGCGCAGACGAACGGAAGAGUCUGUAGAAGCAUGUAGAGUGACUUGGUAGGCAAAUCCGCCAGGUUAGACUUGAGGUGUGACAUAUACUCGCAAGAGGAAUGCGCAAAUCCCACGCUGCCGAGAAAAGCUUCUAGCGGUAAAGUAGAGACUGCCCGUACUGGAAACCGACACAGGUGGUCAGGAUGAGAAAUCUAAAGCGGACAGGCUAACUCUCGUUAAGGAACUCUGCAAAAUGGCCCCGUAACUUCGGGAGAAGGGGUGCCU
RNAcentral lists this ribosomal RNA (1753 nucleotides) under Fusobacterium necrophorum DJ-1. RNAcentral describes it as "bacterial LSU rRNA". It matches the Rfam family "Bacterial large subunit ribosomal RNA", at positions 1 to 1753 of the family's 2925-position model. Lineage: Bacteria; Fusobacteriati; Fusobacteriota; Fusobacteriia; Fusobacteriales; Fusobacteriaceae. The record is from RNAcentral.